ACUUCAGCCAGCGCGCCGCGGUGCAGCUUCAGUCGGCACGAGGAGCCUCUGGCUCCUGGUCGCCCUCGAAAGAAACCCAUCCAAAAUAGCCCAACAACACAUGACGAAGCCCGAACCAUGCGCUAACUAACCCUUGACGAAUUUCUUUGCGACUUGCCCUCACCAUCGGAACCAUGGAUACCGACAACACUACUACGAAAGAUCCGGAGCGCGUUUCAAGAUAUUAACACAAUGAUUAACCCCGAACAAUUUCAGCAAAUUCACCGCGACAACAGUAUCUCUUUGACCUGGAGAAACGGUUGUCCCCUGUGACCACGGCAAUCCCUUGAUCAAGGAUUUCUCCUAAAAUUGUUCGGCUGUCGACAACUUGUGUUAACAAUAAUAUUUUAGCAACAAUUUUUUGUGUCAAAGUCGUUGCUAAAAUAAUUUCCUGAAAAGCACUCUACAAGAAUUCCAUGAUUUCGAUCUUUCGGUUUGACGGAUUAACCGUUUCCUUUGUGGAGCUUAUAACGUAAUUUUGUAUAUAUAUAAGGAAAGUUAACUAUUAAGGCGAGGGUUCCACAAAGAGACCGAUUAAGUUUCCGUGCAUAGUAGUUCGUGAUACAAGGUACCGACGAGGCUCUAGUGUUUUAGUUGAUAAGAUAAUCUAAAAGAAAAAUAAGAAUGAUUUUUUUUUGAAAUAAAGAAACCCUCUGAUUGUAGACUUGUAAUUAAAAAAAAACAUGGUAACGUUUGUAACAUAGAUUAAGGGUUAAAUUUAGCGAGAGGAUAUUUUCAAUACGAAAAAAUGUGAGUGCAUGAGAAUAUUUAACUACAUAAGCAUGUUAUUUGAUAAGAUAUACAAGUUUUUGCGUACCUUCAUAUACUCAAUAUAAUUCAUAUACGUAAGAGAAAUUAUUAAUUCGGGAUUUAAUUAAUCGUCCGUCUAAAAAAUACCCAGGGAUCAGUGACGAUGAUUCUUGUAGUCCAGUAACGGCCUAGUAUACAGCAAAUAUACGAAAGUUACACUUUUAAGCUAACCGCUUUGCAAAAGCUAGCUUAAACUGCAUACGUACCGUCGGUAAAAAAGAGCUUGGCCAGCCGAAAGUACAACAUUAAAAAGAUUAUUUUAGAUUGUAGUUUCUUUUCCCUUCGCCAGGCGCCUCAAUAUAACCUUUCAAAGGCGGAUUGUUGGUUGACAAGCAGCUUCGGUUUCUUUUUGUUACAAUAAAUCGUUGGUAUAUUACAAUGAGCGAGCAAUAAUUUGGCUAGUGAUACGUUACACACGGAGUAGCGAGAUAGAAUAGGUCCCUCUAUACAAGGGAUUAUCCAUAAUAGUAUAUAGUGGCCUUUCUUUCAAUUACGAUUUACCGCAUGGCUCAAUAUUAUUAUAUCACUCUUUACGGACAUAUUGUAACGAUUUAAUGCUCGAUUGUACAAUGUAUUUAUUCAUUAUACUCUGGAAAUAAAAUGGUUUGAGAAAUUUA
This is a long non-coding RNA of Onthophagus taurus, 1466 nucleotides long. RefSeq lists it as uncharacterized. The record is from RefSeq and is a predicted model, not a curated record. Lineage: Eukaryota; Metazoa; Arthropoda; Insecta; Coleoptera; Scarabaeidae.